ACCUCCGUAGGUGACCUGCGGAGGGAUCAUUACACAAAUAUGAAGGCGGGCUGGAACCUCUCGGGGUUACAGCCUUGCUGAAUUAUUCACCCUUGUCUUUUGCGUACUUCUUGUUUCCUUGGUGGGUUCGCCCACCACUAGGACAAACAUAAACCUUUUGUAAUUGCAAUCAGCGUCAGUAACAAAUUAAUAAUUACAACUUUCAACAACGGAUCUCUUGGUUCUGGCAUCGAUGAAGAACGCAGCGAAAUGCGAUAAGUAGUGUGAAUUGCAGAAUUCAGUGAAUCAUCGAAUCUUUGAACGCACAUUGCGCCCUUUGGUAUUCCAAAGGGCAUGCCUGUUCGAGCGUCAUUUGUACCCUCAAGCUUUGCUUGGUGUUGGGCGUCUUGUCUCUAGCUUUGCUGGAGACUCGCCUUAAAGUAAUUGGCAGCCGGCCUACUGGUUUCGGAGCGCAGCACAAGUCGCACUCUCUAUCAGCAAAGGUCUAGCAUCCAUUAAGCCUUUUUUUCAACUUUUGACCUCGGAUCAGGUAGGGAUACCCGCUGAACUUAAGCAUAUCAAAAAGUGGGAGGAA
RNAcentral lists this ribosomal RNA (574 nucleotides) under Alternaria sp. xz13. RNAcentral's name for it is "eukaryotic LSU rRNA". The stretch from base 198 to 351 matches the Rfam family "5.8S ribosomal RNA". The record is from RNAcentral. Lineage: Eukaryota; Fungi; Ascomycota; Dothideomycetes; Pleosporales; Pleosporaceae.